RNAcentral lists this signal recognition particle RNA (97 nucleotides) under pig gut metagenome. Its description in RNAcentral is "Bacteroidales small SRP". It matches the Rfam family "Bacteroidales small SRP", at positions 8 to 103 of the family's 107-position model. From Rfam's summary of the family: The non-coding component of the signal recognition particle in Bacteroides The record is from RNAcentral. RNAcentral also lists the same sequence under 1 other name.
GGAGUAAGUCUUAUUCGACCAGCUCCUGCAAACUCCCCCAGGAUCGGAAGGUAGCAAGGGUAAGCGGUUGUAGCGGUGCGUUUUAAGGAGCUUGCUC